GACGAACGCUGGCGGCGUGCCUAAUACAUGCAAGUCGUGCGGACAGAUGAGGAGCUUGCUCCUCUGACGUUAGCGGCGAACGGGUGAGUAACACGUGGGUAACCUGCCCUCAAGCGGGGGAUAACAUCCGGAAACGGGUGCUAAUACCGCAUAGGUUCUUCUUCCACCUGGAAGAAGAAGGAAAGACGGCCUUUGUGCUGUCGCUUGAGGAUGGACCCGCGGCGUAUUAGCUAGUUGGUGGGGUAACUGCCCACCAAGGCAAUGAUACGUAGCCGACCUGAGAGGGUGAUCGGCCACAUUGGGACUGAGACACGGCCCAA
This 320-nucleotide ribosomal RNA is filed under the name uncultured bacterium. Its description in RNAcentral is "bacterial SSU rRNA". It matches the Rfam family "Bacterial small subunit ribosomal RNA", at positions 28 to 334 of the family's 1533-position model. The record is from RNAcentral.